RNAcentral lists this ribosomal RNA (485 nucleotides) under uncultured bacterium. RNAcentral's name for it is "bacterial SSU rRNA". It matches the Rfam family "Bacterial small subunit ribosomal RNA", at positions 30 to 530 of the family's 1533-position model. The record is from RNAcentral.
CGAACGCUGGCGGCGUGCUUUAUACAUGCAAGUCGAACGAUGAAGUUCCUUCGGGAAUGGAUUAGUGGCGAACGGGUGAGGAACACGUGAGAAAUCUGCCUUUCAUUCUAGGAUAACACCGGGAAACCGGUGCUAAUACCGGAUACUCCAUCUUGGCGGCAUCGCCGAGCUGGGAAAAAAUUUUGAUGAAAGAUGGUCUCGCGGCCUAUCAGCUAGUUGGUGAGGUAAAGGCUCACCAAGGCGACGACGGGUAGCCGGCCUGAGAGGGCGACCGGCCACAUUGGGACUGAGACACGGCCCAGACUCCUACGGGAGGCAGCAGUAGGGAAUAUUGGGCAAUGGGCGAAAGCCUGACCCAGCGACGCCGCGUGAGGGAUGAAGGUCUUCGGAUUGUAAACCUCUUUCAGUAGGGAAGAAGCGAAAGUGACGGUACCUAAAGAAGAAGCACCGGCUAACUAUGCGCCAGCAGCCGCGGUAAUCUGAUG